This 495-nucleotide ribosomal RNA is filed under the name Triticum aestivum (bread wheat). Its description in RNAcentral is "partial small subunit ribosomal RNA". Lineage: Eukaryota; Viridiplantae; Streptophyta; Magnoliopsida; Poales; Poaceae. The record is from RNAcentral.
AUGAGCAGCUCCUCUUUUGUUAUCCAUGGAAUUAAUGACGUCGCAACGUUGGAGAAUAUCGUGUGCCGAGAGGCGUUAUCUCUCGCUGAGGAUUUGAUGAUUCACAACUUCAUUAUUGCAUCAGAUACUAAGCAAGUAGUGUCUGACAUUGCGAGAGGAAGCAAUGGAGCUUAUGGUAGUAUUAUCACUGAAAUCAAGCGUAGGGCGGCCACCUUCAAUUGCAUCUCCACUUUUGAAGUGAGGGCAGAGCGUUCAUGGCUGCAUCCGUCCCAAUCUCCGGUGGGCAAAAAAGAGAAAAAGGCAAACAAAAAAAGUAGGAAGAGACCACAGCACCACAAGCGCAGUAGCAGCAGUAGCAGCUGGUGCUUGACGGGCUUCUCCAUGUCUCCGCGCCAGUCCAAGCCGGUUCACAUGCAUUUGUUCUCUUCCAUUGUAGCCUCCCCUCUAGCCUCCCUCCCCCCUCCCCCAACCUCAUCCCCAUUGCUUGCUAGCUAG